This is a small nuclear RNA of Aotus nancymaae (Ma's night monkey), 141 nucleotides long. Its record names the gene U4. It matches the Rfam family "U4 spliceosomal RNA". From Rfam's summary of the family: U4 small nuclear RNA (U4 snRNA) is a component of the major U2-dependent spliceosome. The structure of U4 snRNA from yeast and human has been reported. NCBI's taxonomy places the organism in Eukaryota, Metazoa, Chordata, Mammalia, Primates, Aotidae. The record is from Ensembl.
AGCUUUGCACAGUGACAGUAUCGUAGCCAAUGAGGUUUGUCCGAGGUGUGAUUAUUGCUAAUUGAAAACUUUUCCCAAUACCCCGCCAUGAUGACUUGAAAUAUAGUCAGUGUUGGCAAUUUUUGGCAGUCUCUACAGGAA